Molecule: long non-coding RNA, 591 nt
Organism: Hemicordylus capensis (graceful crag lizard)
Lineage: Eukaryota; Metazoa; Chordata; Lepidosauria; Squamata; Cordylidae
Exons: 3
Source: RefSeq, a predicted model, not a curated record
AAACUGCAGAGCUCUUCUCUCCUCGCCUCUCAGCUGAUCGGCGGGUGGGCGGGGCUUCCAGAGAGGCCUCCGAGUAGGCCUCCCUGAAGCCUGAACUCGAGUAGGCCCCAAGCAAGGAAGGAAGGAAGGAGGAAGCAGGCAGCAGACCCUCUGCCCAGACCAGACCAUCCAGAACAGCUAUUGCUAGUUCUGCAUUUAGGUAUGGAAAACCCUAACCACAAAUAUAGGAUGGGGAAGACCUGACUUGGCAGCAGCACAUCUGAAAAGGAUCUGGGGAUCUUAGUGGACCACAUCUUGAACAUGAGCCAGCCGUGUGAUGAAUCUCCUAAAAAGGUGAACAGAUCCUAUCAGUAUAUUCCAAGAGAAACAAACAAGAACAUGUCACGAGGCCUGAGAUAUCUUAUCGCCCUUCAGUGGAUUACUUUGCUAAGGCACCACAAAUUUGCAUUAGAGAAAAGAAGGGAAACAUGCCUGCCACUUCAGGGGAGGCCUUAAUGGUUAAUAAGAAAAGCCACAACAUUGAGUCAAGAGAUUCCAUCUUUUCAAUAAUGUGUCACAGUGCAAAGAACAUCACUGAUCUCAACUGAUAAA